Molecule: ribosomal RNA, 429 nt
Filed under: bacterium
Lineage: Bacteria
Description: partial 16S ribosomal RNA
Rfam family: Bacterial small subunit ribosomal RNA
Source: RNAcentral
UAGGGAAUCUUCGGCAAUGGGGGCAACCCUGACCGAGCAACGCCGCGUGAGUGAAGAAGGUUUUCGGGUCGUAAAGCUCUGUUGUAAGAGAAGAACGUGUGUGAGAGUGGAAAGUUCACACAGUGACGGUAACUUACCAGAAAGGGACGGCUAACUACGUGCCAGCAGCCGCGGUAAUACGUAGGUCCCGAGCGUUGUCCGGAUUUAUUGGGCGUAAAGCGAGCGCAGGCGGUUUAAUAAGUCUGAAGUUAAAGGCAGUGGCUUAACCAUUGUUCGCUUUGGAAACUGUUAAACUUGAGUGCAGAAGGGGAGAGUGGAAUUCCAUGUGUAGCGGUGAAAUGCGUAGAUAUAUGGAGGAACACCGGUGGCGAAAGCGGCUCUCUGGUCUGUAACUGACGCUGAGGCUCGAAAGCGUGGGGAGCAAACAGG